Molecule: long non-coding RNA, 2522 nt
Organism: Schistocerca cancellata (South American locust)
Lineage: Eukaryota; Metazoa; Arthropoda; Insecta; Orthoptera; Acrididae
Exons: 3
Source: RefSeq, a predicted model, not a curated record
UUUCCACAGUGAUAUAGCACUCAUACUAGACUGUUUAAAAUUUGAGUGGUAUCUUUCAAAUUUAUUAAUAUCUAACAAGCCUAAUAAGUUAACCAAUGUUUUCAGCUGUGAGCUUGAGUCAUUAUGUUAAAAUUUAAAACUUUAUUUUUGUACAACACAACACAUUUGUUUUUAAUCCCUUUGAAUGUUACAGUGAAUUUUUCUAUUCAGUACAGACAUGUAUGUAAUGAAAAAUAUAAAACAAUGGCCACUCCAACAAAAUUAAAAGACUUAAACCUUCAAUUGUAAGAAGAGGAAGUAAUUUCUCCCAUCUGGGAAAACCUCUGCUAAUCAUCAAGAUUUAAUGGAUGGACUGUAUGACCGGCAACCACAGGACCAUUAGAGCGACCUGUGGAAUGACACGGUGUGAAAGAAGAGAUGAUAAGCUUUGAGAGUGGCAUGGUACCAUACGAGUAACAGGCUGCACCUCAAGCAAAUAAAAUUUAGUUGUAACAAUUGGCACAAAUGAAUGAUUCAAAGUAUCAGCAGUAGCAGUGCGGUAAGUGACAAGUGAUAUAGGUUUGAUGCUACCGAACAAAUAAAGGGCCAAUCUACACACAGGGUACAGGCCGACCUACACACGGGGUACAGUCUGCCUCAAAAAUUCCCAACAUCCAUUUUCACUUUAUAAUAUGUAUAUAUGUAUAUGAAGGUAUUCAUCACAAACAGGAUUAUUCCUACACAUUGAAUGACAACAACAUUUAUGGCAAUUAAACACGUCAUGAAUAUUUAAGUUACCCAUUGUCUGAAGUAAACAAUGUCUAUUUCAGGUAGUAAGAACAUAACAAGAGUCUAUCAUGAGAACGAUGCUGAUUGAGAGUCUUGUUGUAACGUGAUAUAGCCAGCCGGAGUGGCCGAGCGGUUCUAGGUGCUUCAGUCUGGAACCGCACAACUGCUACGCUCGCAGGUUUGAAUCCUGCCUCGGACAUGUAUGUGUGUGAUGUCCUUAGGUUAGUUAGGUUUAAGUAGUUCUACGUUCUAGGGGACUGAUGACCUUAGAUGUUGCGUCCCAUAGUGCACAGAGACAUUUGAACCAUUUUUGCAACAUGAUAAAUGAGUUCUACAUCCUUUCCAUUGUAAUCCGAUGAGUCUGUUCUCAAAUAGAUUCCUUCCUUCAUUGCUUGAGGCAAUGCUAAAUGUAGUUACACAAGCAGCACAUACUGUAUUCAAAGUAAAUGCCAAUGCUUCCCAUCUGCCCCAUAAAUAAAAAAUAAGCUCUCAUGAACAAUGUGAAAGAAAUUAUGUAUAAUAUUUCUUAUGCAAAGUUUUGUGGCACACAAACAUAUGGAUAUAUAUAUGUACAUAAGAAUGAUCGAUGUAACUGAGAUUACGCAUAUUUAUUCUAUAAUGUGAAUGUAAAUAAGCCUAUUAUGUACAAACUAAACUUGUUCGACUGUUUAUGAAGUAAGUGUGAUGGCAAUGUCAGCAAUGAUAUGUAAUAUAUGAAUGUAUUAAAAUUCUGACUCUGUUUGUUUGAAGAGUAACAGCAUAAGAAAUCAGACACUUAUAUACAAAAUGAGUGAUUAAUAGAGUUGGAUGGCAAUUCAGCAAGGAACCUGUGUAAAAGUGAUUUUUUUCAAAAGUGAAGUGUGCUGAUGCUUAGUAUGCAUUUGUAAACCUACAAAAAUUUUUACUAAACUACACUCAACCCUGGAUAAAUGAAGAAGUGCUUUAUAAGGAACUUACCAUGUCAUCAGGGGCUGAUUGAUGGAUUUCCUCUCCACUGAAUGAGCACGUUACGAUGGCUAAACAAUGGUCCCAGGCCAUAAAAUUGUAGGUCCUCUGUCAUAUCAUCAAAAUUACAUCAAGCGUGCACAUUGUUUCCAAGAAAUGAACAAAUUGUUUGUGGAGAAAUGCAUGGUACAACACAUGAUGACUUCACUGUUUCACUCCGAGUGAAAUGGACAUGCAUGAGUUAGAAGUAUUCAGUGAGGACAAAACAGUUUUUAAAUCCCAGUGCAUGGCCACCAACUACUUGCCAUGUGCAUGGGCACAUUAAUGAAUGAGACUGGACUAAACCAAGCAUUGUUGAAUACACACACUAUUUGAUAUUUGUAACCCUUUUUAAUAACUUGUUAAGUCUAUCUAAAAGACCGAGAAAUAAAGGGCUUUAAGUCCCCUCACUGGUAAUAGAUGACAACCAAUUAAUCAUGUGAUACUACCUAACAUUGUUGGUGUACUGUUGGGGGCAACUGUGUAAUACCUUUUUAUUUUUCUCACAAUAUCAAUUUAUAUAAAUGUUUUCUUUUCCUCAUUAGUAAUAAGAAAUUGGUACAUCACCAGAGAAGAUGGCAAACACAGGCUUUUAAAAUAAUUUUUCUAACAAACGAGAAAUGCCAGGAGAAUAUUCAAUUUUUUAACAACUUUUGUUUCAAAUCCCACUUGAGAAUAUUUAAGUUUCAGAUCUCACAGAAGAAGGACAUAUAAUAUUUACUCUUGUGUCAACAAUGACUGCUGUAAAUGCUAGGUGUGAUAAAAAUACA